Molecule: transfer RNA, 73 nt
Filed under: Cuniculiplasma divulgatum
Lineage: Archaea; Methanobacteriati; Thermoplasmatota; Thermoplasmata; Thermoplasmatales; Cuniculiplasmataceae
Also listed under: 5 other names
Description: tRNA-Val
Rfam family: tRNA
About the family: Transfer RNA (tRNA) molecules are approximately 80 nucleotides in length. Their secondary structure includes four short double-helical elements and three loops (D, anti-codon, and T loops). Further hydrogen bonds mediate the characteristic L-shaped molecular structure. tRNAs have two regions of fundamental functional importance: the anti-codon, which is responsible for specific mRNA codon recognition, and the 3' end, to which the tRNAs corresponding amino acid is attached (by aminoacyl-tRNA synthetases). tRNAs cope with the degeneracy of the genetic code in two manners: having more than one tRNA (with a specific anti-codon) for a particular amino acid; and 'wobble' base-pairing, i.e. permitting non-standard base-pairing at the 3rd anti-codon position.
Source: RNAcentral
GGGCUUGUAGUCCAGUGGUUAUGACGUCGCUCUCACACAGCGAAGACCGCCGGUUCGAAUCCGGCCAGGCCCA